CGCGGGGUGGAGCAGCCUGGUAGCUCGUCGGGCCCAUAACCCGAAGGUCGUCGGUUCAAAUCCGGCCCCCGCAACCA
RNAcentral lists this transfer RNA (77 nucleotides) under Escherichia coli. RNAcentral's name for it is "tRNA-Met". It matches the Rfam family "tRNA". Rfam says of the family: Transfer RNA (tRNA) molecules are approximately 80 nucleotides in length. RNAcentral also lists the same sequence under 5 other names. Lineage: Bacteria; Pseudomonadati; Pseudomonadota; Gammaproteobacteria; Enterobacterales; Enterobacteriaceae. The record is from RNAcentral.